AUUGAACGCUGGCGGCAGGCCUAACACAUGCAAGUCGAGCGAGCGGCGGACGGGUGAGUAAUGUCUGGGAAACUGCCUGAUGGGGGGGGAUAACUACUGGAAACGGUAGCUAAUACCGCAUACCAUCAGAAGUGCCCAGAUGGGAGUAGCUAGUAGGUGGGGUAACGGCGCACCUAGGCGACGAUCCGUAACUGGUCUGAGCGGAUGAUCAGCAACACUGGAACUGAGACACGGUCCAGACUCCUACGGGAGGCAGCAGUGGGGAAUAUUGGACAAUGGGCGAAAGCCUGAUUCAGCCAUGCCGCGUGUGUGAAGAAGGUCUUCGGAUUGUAAAGCACUUUAAGUUGGGAGGCGUUACCAACAGAAUAAGCAACGGCUAACUGCGUGCCAGCCGCCGCGGUAAUAC
RNAcentral lists this ribosomal RNA (406 nucleotides) under uncultured bacterium. RNAcentral describes it as "partial 16S ribosomal RNA". It matches the Rfam family "Bacterial small subunit ribosomal RNA", at positions 30 to 526 of the family's 1533-position model. The record is from RNAcentral.